UAUAGCAGUGUACGUACAGCUGCCUUACUCUGCACUGCCUGCGCUGGAGUGAGGCUGCUCUGUCCUUAAACACAAACUGCUUCUCGUCCUUAAGUAUCCUGGAAGCUGCAUAUUAUCUCAAGAUCACUUCAAAGGUCUCAUCAGGCAGAAGGUGAUGCUAGGAGAUGAUUUAAAGGUGAAAAUGAGAAGGUUUCCACCCCUCAAACCUUGGCCACUUUUCUGACGGCAGAGUCUGAGAGCUCAGAUGUCUCCUUUACUCUGGAAACAGGAUUUGUAACGAAAAAGAUUCUUCUUUUUUUUUUUUUUUUUUAAUCCUGAUAAAGAAGAUUAUUGGGAAGCUAUUAAAAACCCCUUAUUGUGAUACAGAUGGAUUUAAAAAAGUGUUAGAUCUUUCCGAUGAACACUAAUAGAGUGCUCUGCUCUUGGUUGGAUUACUCAGAGAAUGGCAGUGGUCUCUGCAAUGUCCUGGGUCCUGUAUUUGUGGAUAAGUGCCUGUGCAAUGCUGCUCUGUCAGGGGUCCCUCCAUCACACUUUCCAGCAGCAUCACCUGCACAGACCAGAAGGAGGAACGUGUGAAGUUAUAGCAGCACACAGAUGCUGUAAUAAGAAUCGAAUUGAGGAAAGAUCACAAACAGUAAAAUGCUCCUGUCUACCUGGGAAAGUGGCUGGGACUACAAGAAACAGACCUUCCUGUGUCGAUGCUUCUAUAGUGAUUGGGAAAUGGUGGUGUGAGAUGGAGCCCUGCCUAGAAGGAGAGGAAUGUAAGACGUUGCCUGAUAAUUCUGGAUGGAUGUGUGCAACUGGCAAUAAAAUCAAGACCACCAGAAUCCACCCAAGGACCUAACAGAGCGCCGUCUGCAAGGAGACAGUGAAAGCCCUGCUGAUUUUUGAGGACAAAGUAUUGAAAGUUUAAAACCAUCUCAGCAUUUACAAGCCAAAUGGAUUUCUUAUUUGCACUUUGACUGUUUACCAGAUAACAACAGUGGCUUUAUUGUGUGAAAGCAAGUAUUCGGUGGAAAUAAUGCCCCUGAUUUUUGACAGCUGAAAAUAAAAAGGAAGAAAAUGGUUCCUUUGGUAAAGUUUCCAAGAUUGCGAAGUACAAACAACAGUCUAAGUUUGGAUCUACAAUUUACUUUAUACCAGUUAAAGUAUAUAUAUAGAAAUAUAUAUAUAUUAAUAUAUGAUAUUUUGAAAUAAAAGCCUCACUCUUCAAGAAAUUGAAUAGUACCACACUUUGCUGCAGCUGCUGUAAAUUUUUUUCUUCUUUUUUGUAAUGGUCUGGAAGAUCCCUACGUGUUUCAGAGAGAAAUGUGGCAGUGAAGAGGCAAAGCAAACCUGCUGCGGUACAAGGAUGCCUAAGAGCUACCUGAAUCCUACCGAUGUGGCAUCCAGAGCUUCCUGUUCCCUUUGGCAGAAUGUUGAGGGCAUUUGUUGUUCCACUUUGUGUUCUGGAGGCUUUUCCCCUUGUGCAAUACUAGCAUGCUGGCUUUGCUUCAUUAACCAUACUUGAUUGAUAUAUAACAAUGAUAAUUCUAUCCUCUUCCAAGAAAAUAUUUUUAGAGCUGUUAGAUAUUCCAUGAAGAAGAGAUGGACAGCUACUGAGUGAAGUACAGUAUGUAUUAAAGGUUUAUUUGGCAGAGUUUGGUAGACUGUGAGCUCCCUUCUUAUUAAAGGUGUACUGUACGUACAAUGACUUCAGACUUUGUAUAGCUCAUAGAGACUACAGUAAAAACCCAGUAAUCAACUCCAAAGCUUUGCGUUGUUUGCUCACUAAUUCUUUGAAACAACAACAAAGCUAUUUCUUUUCAGACCAACAUGGGAGAGGGUUUUUACAUACGGUUUGUUUUUUUACAAGCCCAUUUGCAAUUGGUGAACAAGCAUUUCAGGUUAAGCAAAUGCCUCUGUGGACACCUCGAAUGCUCAGGCACACACACGCGCAAGGGACUGCCUGGCUGUGUGCUUUUAUCCCACAGCACAGAUGGGAGAAAACCCUAAAUUUAAGCUUCCCCUGUUGCAGGCCAAGCUAAUUCUCAUUGAGAGCAUCUGCCACCAGCUAAAAGUAUACACAUGGGCAAUUCCAUGGCACAGCAAAUGCACAACAGUUUGCAGUAAGCAAACUGUGUCUAAGCCCUGUCUUAAUUUCAAAAAUAGUUUCUUUCAGAUUAAUUUUAAUCUGUUUCUUACUAAUGUGAAUUCAGCUGAGUUGAGAUGCUCUUCAGCAAGGAUGCGUCCACAGAGACAUUGAUCUACUCACUGUGAGUGGUUUGAAUUCACAUUUCUAGCUAAGCUGUUGCUGUUCACCAUGCAGCCUGGCUCUUGCAUUGCUGAAGAAAGAUCACAUCUGAGGGCUGACAUGAGCAAGCCAAGUUCACAUUCCCAGGCACUUUUGCGAGCAGUCCAAUUAAUUUCAGGGGGUUUAUUCGUGUGGAAAAGUAUCCUACGGUCACGCAUAAGUCUGCACAAUCUACCUUUCAGUAUGCCUAAUGCUACUGAAUCAAAAAGGAAUAAGGAACUGUAAAACGUGUUCUACCCCGUACAGCUUAAUUUCUUUAAUAUUUCCAAUUCCCUUUCAGCCUGCUUACCUGUCUCUCACAGGACCCCUUUGGCCAUGCUGAUCACUUUUAAUCCAGUGCAGAGGAAGUGCUGCAUUUCCCAACCUAGAGUUGGUCAAAAUUCUCACGCUAACUUUCUUUCUCCUUCAGGGCAACCACUUCAGUCCCUUAUGCUUCAAGAGGCAGAAAUUUGUCACUGUAAUUACACUGUAUAUUAAAGCAGCUACAUGAUGUGUCACGCCAUACUCCAUGCCAGCUUCCUGUGCUGGUCCUUGGCUGAUGCUCACACUGGAAAAGGACAUGCUAUUUCCAAGUACCUCUAUUAUUUCCCUUUCAAAAGAUGUAAGAGUGAGAAGUGUUCAGGGAAGAAACUUGGUUUUCUUCUGUGCACAGAAAGACUAAAUAGGAGCAUGUUAUGGGUCAUAGCACGUAGAAACCAGCCUCACCCAUGGUCCAGCAGGAAGGACAUGUGUUUUCUGGCCACAGCCACCUGGCUAAACCACAGAAGAUACCUGGACCCUAGUCUAUGUUUUACAUAUGGUCCGCCAUGGCCAUGUGUGCUUCAUUCCAUCAUCUCAAUGUGGAGAGGACCAUUGCCUGCCUGGUUACCCUCAGAUAGAUGUGAUCCCAAAAUGAGAUCUCAGACUAGCUCCAGGCUCACGUACCACAAGUAAGGAGAAACUCCUCCAGAAUAAAUCCUUAGCAAUUCUUCAUUUUACUACCACAGCACUUUAAAAAACCCAGGACCCUCUAGGAAGUAGGAAGCCCUUGGUGCACUGGGAGAUAGAUUCUGCCACCUGGCAAUAAAUUGAUUAAAGGCCAGGAUAUAUUAUCAUCCCUUUAACAACAGGAACUGAAGCACACAAAGCUAAAUGGCCACUCAAAAUCACGUUGGAGGGUAUAGAAAAUCGAGCAGAAAGUGAACUUUGGUUUCCUUAUUCCAAGCCUACUGAUAACCCCACACAGCAAACUAACCGGUGGCCUCUUGUGCCCUUUGCCAAAAGCCCGAGGUAUCACCACUGAGAGUUACUUUCCCCAUAGCAGUGUAUCUGACAUGGCUCAGACUGUGAGUAGAUAACAAUGCUUUUGCCUGUGUCUAUGAAACAUGCCUGUUGAGACUGGGAAAUAUUAGCCUUGCUAAAACAUUAGAAGGAAAUGUUAUCAUUACCACAGCAAAGUUUCUUAGAGAUGUUUAUGAAUUUUUCUUUGCCAGUAGGCAGCCUUAGAUAUCACCGCACCAAGUAAACAUCUGCAUCUCUUUGAAGUUGCUGCAAAAUCUGCUCAUGAAGUGUGGCACUGAGAAAUUGAUGUUUUAAUAAAAAUGUUUUAGAGGGGAAUUAAGGCCUUUGCAAAAAUAAUGACUAAUAAAACAUGAAGUCAAAUUGAGAGCUGGAUGCAGCUCCAGUGAACCAAAUUGAAAACAAUAGUAAAAAACCCAACCAGUUUGGAGUCACAAUGAUCAUGUAUUUCGGUGAGAUGCACAGUAAUGCAGUGUGUGGCAGGAAGAUGGCAGAGCUGCUUACCUUGGCCAAUGGAAACACAAUGUGUUUCAGUGGUGGAGUAAUGGGUCCCACAUCCUCAUGAGAAAGUGACAGUCAUGCCACUCUCUGCACAAUGUUUAAGGAUAUUUACAUCCACAGAAGAGAAAGUUGAAAGUUCCUGCUUUUUGGCAGAAGUCUAGACAGAGACAUGGCAGGCAAAAAAGAAAAAUAGUUGUAAAUGCAUCCAAGAUAAAUUUAGAUUUCUGUCAAUGUUUCUUCAGAUGUGUGAAAAAACAAGUUAUGUAAAUCUGAAAUGUACAAGUUGGAAAAAAUACUGAAAAAGAAAAAAGUAUCUACCAUCUGCCUAUUGAUUCAGAAAAUCUAGAUUAUAUGCUUCUGUCCAAAAAAUCUCUGGUAAUAAAGAGCUCAGUGUGGUAUGACUUAAUAUUGCUUUGAAUAUGCUACAUGCUAUAUUUGAAGAAAUAUAUGGAGACCCAUGGAGAAAGUCCACUCCUAUGGCCAACAAUUAUGAACAGCAUGAUGUGCACCCAAAACUGGCGUUACAGAGAGAAAGGACUCUGAAGGUGAUACAGUAACUGAUGAGUGAUGCUCUUAUCAGACCUAUUGAUCGACAAUUUACAGAGUUCACAGAUAUUUUCAGUGGUGUACUCUAUUAUCACAUUCUAAAAUUAUUAGUUAUGUUCCUAACUUUCCUCAUUUGCCACUUUUCUAUUCUUCUGUACGGUCCAAGUAUAAUUACAGAUAGUAGAGAAGUUGUGGAGAUAAACAUACCUUGGCUUGGAAAGCACAUCCAUUUCAUCUGAAGGUGGCAGUAUUUGUUUCUUCUUAGUGGCAGGUUGAAUAUUGUGGUCUAAAAUGAGCUUCUCUUUUAUCAAUACCUCAGUCAUAUCCCAGGAAGCAGGGUUUAGAGCUUGCCUGACAAAGAAAUGGGUCAUGCUUCUUUGCUUGGUAUUCUAUUUUUUUGUCAGUGAAAAAUAAAAACACAUUCCACAAGUAAUCUUGCAGGUAGACAGAAGGAGAUGUGUGUGCAGGGCAGUUGGUUUAAGGCUGUCAACAAUUUUUCUAGUUCACAGGUUUGAAUUCAGAUCAUAAGCCUGACACAUAUUUAUGGUUUCUUCUCUGAAAUGCUCACACAGUCAGAGCACUUAACUUCACAAAUAUUUAUAAAACUAUGCCACUCUGAGGAAAAGAAACUGACUCUUCUACUUUGCAGUUGGAAAAUAAGACUCAUAAGACUUGGGACCUGUCCAAGGUUAUCCUAAAGAACUGCAGCAGAGCCAGCAGUAGAACUGAGGACUUCUGGAUUUUAAGUCAUCGUUGCAGAUGGUUCAUCUACAGUUCACAUCAGUAAGAUUUCACUGACUGCAGACCCUGGCUUUUAGCUCAAGUCACAGAGAGCAAAAUUAGGGUGCCUGCAGUCAAGUGUGGACAAUCGUCUGCAAGAAUCAACUGCUCAGAGCUUACUCACCUCCAUUCAGCUGGGAUUUUCAAACCACUAAUGCAUGGAAGACCACCACUAGACUUACUCCAACAUCUUCUGCUCCCACAGGGACAGUGGCACAGUCCUGCUGCUGUCUGGUUUCACAGCUCCUUAGUAGAAGUUGCUGUGAGCCUUCCAGAUUAGAUAGAGAGAUGGAAAAAAAGCACAGAAAUGGCUGUGCUUAACUGUGGUGGACUGAGAAACAAAUUUAGCCAACAGUCCUUUCAGAGGUCAUGAUUUCUCAGAGAUGCCCAUCAGAUAGAAUGAUUUUCAUGUAAAAGUUGACUUUGAGCAUAGAAAGCACACAUUCCCUUGCACCACGAGGUGCCUGAACCAGCCAAUAAGAAGCACAAAGAAGCUCAAGCAAAAAAUGUGAGCACCGCUGCCAGCGGAAAGGAUACCACACAGGGUAGCUUAAGUCAUGGGGAAAUAAAAAACCCCACUUCAUUUUUGAUAAAUAGUCAUCUGUGGGAACACUUAGCAGAUCUUUGAUUAAACUUUUUGCUGUUGCUUCACAAGUACCUCUAAUUCCUGAAUGCAGCUCAGAAAUGUGCAGAGGUCUUUCCUACAUGACAGGCUUGGGUACGAUGUCUUUUCACCCAAGACUCAUUGUCAGAUUUUUUUUUGUCUUCUCACCAUGUGGCAAUAUGGUCAAAUUUGUAUGACCAGAAACAACAUACAUGUUUGAGCAUAAAGUCACUAACCCACUUCCCAUUGUAUCUCAUCUGCUUGCUUCUUCAGAUGGCUGUCCUUGAUUCGGUUAGAAAUGAGGGCUAGAGACCCAUUCAGAUUUGAAGCAAACUACCUAUAAUCUAAAGUAUUGCUCGGGGGAAUAUGCAAUUUCUUCCUCCCACCUGCCAUUCCUCUUCAUUUUCUAUUUCAUUUCAUUUUCAUUUCAUCUCAUCCGCUCUCUUUCAUACCACAAUUAUUUUCAUCCAUCUCUAUUAGUCUUUUAUCGCCACUACUGCCCCACAGACAGAGAAAAGCAGCUAUGCCGUCAAGACCCAAUUCAAGGAGCUGUCCCCUCCAACAGCUCUGAUUUAUGUGAUGAUCUUUCUUUGCCUUUUUCCUGUGUACUUUGGAAGGUGAGAUCCCAACCCCACUACAGCUGUUACACCAGCAGCUCACCGUAUUUCAGUGCCCACAACAGCAAUCCACAGCUCAGGGCCACAGGGUCUCUCUCAGGUAUGCCCUAGUGUGUAAAGCAUAUGCUACUGAUACUUGAUUUGCAGCAGAGGAGUUAAUUGUCAGCUCCUCACCUUCACUGAACCUGUCCUGUUUGUUGCUUCUCCUACAGUCUUGUAUACCUUGACCAGAACCAAGAAGUCAGCACACAGACUACUGGGGGUUUGUCAUUAGUUUAUGCCUCUGCAAGAGGAAAAUUUAUCGCUAUUGAUUUGAUCAGAUUUGAAAUAGAGAAUGAAGAACAGGCCAAAUAGCUGUUAAAUGCACAAUAUGGGAUGUAAGCACGGACAUGUUAGGUUUUUUUCUGGGUACUUUUUUCCCCAAUGUUCUUUCAGUUACAUUUCUUUUCUGAAAGACUCUACUAUUUAGACUUGCAGAGCUUAUAUGGUAUCUCAUGUAAAGUGGCACAGAGUUUUUACAAAUCUGACACCAAGUCCCUAAAACCCUCCUAGUAUCUCACAGACACCGAUGUCAGGCAGAGAAACAGUUAGGAAAUGCUACCAGCUGAAGACAAUGAUCUCUCUGUCCUUCCUCUGCUUCAGAAAACUCUUCUCAACAAUAACAUCUCAGCUGUGCAUCUAGCAUCAACCUACAAAAAAUACUUCUGAUGGGAUCACAGUACAUCCCUUUAUCACAGAAUAAAGCUGCGAGAGAAGGAUAACAGGAUUUCUUACAGUCAGUGCUGUUCAAGAUCUGGGGGCAAAAUAAGGAAGAGCAGCCCAAAACUUUAAAAAUUGUUUAGCAUAUAAUUGUCAUUGAUUUCUAGUCCAUGCUCUCCUCCCUUAAUAUACUCCACACAUCUACCUGGAGACUACAGUAAUUCCAUCUUGAAGCACCUCCUGUAACUAUACCAUUCAAAAUCUCAAUGCUUACAAAGGAGCCCUAAAAGGCAACCACAACACACGAAGUGAGUAGACCUGGUCAAUGUGUUGCUGUCUCCAGUUUCCCUUUCAACUGCUGCCCUUACCCUCCCAACAGAAUUUGACAUGAAUACCUAUAAGAGAAUUGUUCUCCACAAAUUGCUGUGAAAUGUGAAAGUCAUCUUAUGCCUGAAUAAUUAAGGCACUCCUCUCUACCAACAGCCAGUUUCUUUCUGUACUCUUCAUUAACCCACAGCUUUCCUAUUUAAACUGAUCUAAUUAGUUCCUUACAAUUAAAGGCAGUGGUUUGGUAGAAGACUUGAAAAAUGGGAGUUCACAACAGGUAAAGUUCUUGAUCAGGAUUAUUACUAUUUUUUGAAAUCAAACCCAAAGUUUGCAUAAUGAAGAUUUCUUGGAAGAUACGAUCUAUUAAAUAGGAAAACCAGUUGUUCCUCACUAAUUGGCUCCAUCCUUCUUGGACACAUUUUCACAGACACCUAGAAUCUGGAUUUCUGAGCACAUACAAGCCUAGCAUUAAGUCAAAUGAAAACUGAAGAACUGAUCUGAAAGCAAAGAUUAACAACCUUAUCUUUCAAUUUAUCGAAACCUUAACCACAGGCUGUUCUGCUGUAAUACAGUCAGUUUCCACCUGCAGAUCACGAUUCUCUUCACUGCUGUACAAGGCACAGGCUAAACUGAAUGUAGAACACUACACAUGUGAAAUACCCCACACACCUCAGUGGUAACUUUCCUCACCUGUUAGCACUAAGAUGCCCUGGGACACAGGUGAGCUCAUCAAACAUAACCCAGCAUUCACCAGUGUGAACGAUAGUGGCUAUUCAGUUUCAAGUUUAUGCAGUACAGAGGCAAAACAGACUCAUAACAGGAGCAAAUUGAUAUUAAAACCAGUGUCCGGACAGCAGAAGAUCCACAUCUCACAGAUUACUUACAUAUAAAGCGAACAUAUACAAUGGCCAUGUUGAUAAUUUCCUUAGGAUUUAGAGAAGAGAGCAACUUCAGCUUUACAAACUUCAUGGUUGCUUGAUCUCACUACAGUAAACAGCUCCAUAUUUUUCCUUUUCAUGUUUUAUCCUGAAGCAACAGAGCAUUACAUUAAUUGACUUGUCUUAUUAAUUCAAUAAGCUGCUUCCAAGAUGAAAUGCUUAGCUAUGCUUGCUUGUUUUUGGCACUUUUUGGUUGUUGGAAGAAAAGCUUUAAGGCUAGAAUUGCUCUGAUGUUUUCCACAGUUCACUGAGUAAUUUUAUGCACUACUGAAGAUUUGCCACAUUUGGAAUUACUGCAAACUGCUGCUUUUUCAUCAUAUUAUAAUUUAAUUCACACUUUUAGUAUGAUAAGAAAACAUUUAACAGUUUGCAUAUUAGAGAAGUGUAUUUGUUCUGCCAUAAAGUUGUAGUUAAGAAUUCAUUAUAGGUCAUUCCUUUCUAGGAUUUAUAAUUUGGACAUAAGAUGCAUUUAGAAGAUUAAGGAUGACAUAAAAGCCACCCCAUUCAAAUGAAUUAUAUGCAAUGAAAUUCAGGGAGAAAAAAUUGACCUUGCUGUAAAUAUAGCAAAAAUAAUUUACUGCAAAGUUGAAUAAGAUUGAGAUAUUUUUACUAUUUCGGCAAGUUAUCGGAGAAGAGGUGAAAGUGUUUUAAACUCUAAGAAACUUGAAUGCCAAUAAACAUACCUGAUGCUUCCUUAAGGGAAAAAUACUCAUGCAACUAUGUGGAUUCUUAGAUUUCAACUUCGUUAGCAAACAUGAACUCUGGGUUUUUCUUUCAACUGGUGAAAAAGAUGAUGGUUUUGGUGUGUGAACUGAGUGAAAAUGAAAUUUCUUUUUUUCACCGAGCUUGUACUUUUUCAAGAAGCUGGCCAGGGGUUGUCAAUGCUCUUACCUUUGGGAAAUCUCCUUCCAUUCAUUGCCCAGCUCUAGGCUUGCCCAUAUGGUCUGUUUUGAAGCAAGGUACAGCAUCGUAGUGGUUUAACCCCAGUUGGCAACUAGGGACCAUACAUCCACUCACUGAUGAAACUGAGGGGCUGUGGGCACCUCCAGUCUCUCUGAUGAGGAAAGGGGGUGAGUUCUCAUCAGUGAUUGCUUUUCAACAUAUAGAUACUACAACUCCCUGUAUCUCUGCUCCAGAUCCUGACACUCACUAAAGUCCCUUACAGAGCUCCUGGCAAUAGCACUGCAUUUAAGCUGCUUCUAGGGUGAUGCCUGGCCUGGGCUGGUGCUACUGCAGAGAUCAAGGGCUGUACACAAAUAGAGUGAAAACCAGAAUGCUACAAGAAGGAGCCAGUCCCUGGAGAACCAGGUCAGUUGUUCCUGCUCAAAGGGAUAGGAAGGCAUGCCUGCAUAAACUGUUCUUCACACGCUCCCUCAUCUGCAAGCUAUAUUUUGUAACCCAGCGAUAAGUCUGGCAGCUUGGUGCUCAGAGGUAAUGCUGGUGGUCAAGACAGCGGUUCCCACCAGCCCUGCUAUGGGUUGGUGCAGUGGGUGACAAACCUUCUCACCACAGAGCCAGUUACACUCACUGCUGCAGUAAAAAUCAAUCUGGUAAUCAGAAGGCUUUGAGUCAAAAUAAAGACAUCCCUGCAGUGAGGUCCUAUUUUUAAGUGAAGGUUAUUGAUCAGGUUUCUGGCCUUAAGAAAUCAAAACAUAGUUUAUGCUCAGAGUGACCUGUAGGUGUUUGCACAACAAUUAAUACCCGCAGCUAAAGGUAAUGCAGCUGGACACAUGGCAAUAGGUUUUUUCCUUGAAACAUUUUACCCUUACAGCCACUACCUCUAACUCUUCAUUAUGUGUCCCCACACUCUUUGCAUUUCAAAAUUAUCACACUAAGCAAAGCUCAAUGCACUGUUUAAAUGACUAAGGAACAUCUGGUAAGAUGAGGCUGCUGGGACUCCAUGGACAGAUAAAGUUGUAGCACUUUUCCUCUGUAUAUGGAAAUGUAUUGUAAAUUAAAUCUACAAAUCGUCUGAAAAGGCACAGGUCAGAAAGGAAGUGGAGAAAUACCAUCAUUUGUGCCAAGGUCAAAUUCCAUGCAGCUUAGCUUAAAGUCAGUGCAUUUUCAGGCAUUGUAGAGUUCACUCAUUGUUUUGUAUUUUAAUGGUUUUCUAAAGGCACUUAUGACAUCAUAUUUGCCUUCACAAUAUAUGUCCCAAAUAUACUACAAACC
RNAcentral lists this long non-coding RNA (10755 nucleotides) under Strigops habroptila (Kakapo). RNAcentral describes it as "lncRNA (ENSSHBG00005011476.1)". Lineage: Eukaryota; Metazoa; Chordata; Aves; Psittaciformes; Psittacidae. The record is from RNAcentral.